RNAcentral lists this ribosomal RNA (253 nucleotides) under uncultured bacterium. RNAcentral's name for it is "partial 16S ribosomal RNA". It matches the Rfam family "Bacterial small subunit ribosomal RNA", at positions 524 to 776 of the family's 1533-position model. The record is from RNAcentral.
UACGUAGGGUGCAAGCGUUGUCCGGAAUUAUUGGGCGUAAAGAGCUCGUAGGCGGUCUGUCGCGUCGGAUGUGAAAACCCAGGGCUCAACCCUGGGCCUGCAUUCGAUACGGGCAGACUAGAGUUCGGUAGGGGAGACUGGAAUUCCUGGUGUAGCGGUGGAAUGCGCAGAUAUCAGGAGGAACACCGGUGGCGAAGGCGGGUCUCUGGGCCGUAACUGACGCUGAGGAGCGAAAGCAUGGGGAGCGAACAGG